This 72-nucleotide transfer RNA is filed under the name Synodus variegatus (variegated lizardfish). Its description in RNAcentral is "tRNA-Val". It matches the Rfam family "tRNA". From Rfam's summary of the family: Transfer RNA (tRNA) molecules are approximately 80 nucleotides in length. RNAcentral also lists the same sequence under 1 other name. The record is from RNAcentral. Lineage: Eukaryota; Metazoa; Chordata; Actinopteri; Aulopiformes; Synodontidae.
CAAGACGUAGCUAAAACAGGAUAGCACCUCUUUUACACUGAGGAGUAGCCCGUGCAAAUCGGACCGACUUGA